UCUCCGUAGGUGAACCUGUGGAGGGAUCAUUACCGAGUGAGGGUUCCGGCCCGACCUCCAACCCUUUGUGAAUUCGACCCAGUUGCCUCGGGGGCGACCCGGCCUUCGGGCGUCGGGGCCCCCGGAGCCCAUCAAACCCUGCGUAACUAAGUCGUCGGAGUUUAAACAAAUUAAACAAAACUUUCAACAACGGAUCUCUUGGUUCUGGCAUCGAUGAGAACGCAC
This 225-nucleotide unclassified non-coding RNA is filed under the name uncultured fungus. Its description in RNAcentral is "sequence contains ITS1, 5.8S rRNA gene". Lineage: Eukaryota; Fungi. The record is from RNAcentral.